AGAACUCUUAUACUUAUACAAAUUAAGUUCCUAGUUCACUAGUCCUAGAACUCUUAUGUUUAUACAGAUUAAGUAAGAAUUUAGCAGAUUGCCUAUCUAUUUCUUUUCUAGGAACACCAUGAUCAACCUUGUCAAUGCCAUAGGUCUCUCCAAGUCAGACUAUUCUGAUUACUGCUUUGACUUUUCUGUCUGUCUUUGGUGAUCCAGUGAUGUCACACUGGUCCUGCCACUCUGUGAUCCAGUUAUCUCUAUCGCAUUUAGCAAUCUCAGUUUAGUGGCAGCAAUUCCCUCUGUAAUUUUUGGCCUAUAGAGAAGAGUGACCACAGAGCUCUUCAAGUAUGCUGGUGUCAUGAUGAAAGGUGUGUCCUCUGAACCCUCCCAGGAGGGGUAGGUGAGCAGGUCUUAUAUGAUAGAUCUGUCCUGACAUUUCAAUCUCCCCAAACCUUUGGAGACCUUCUUCUCCAAUAUACCAAGGCACUUAGUUCUGGUAUUUGAUUUCAUUUAAUGUAGGCCACCUUUUAGUCCAUGUUUCCACUAACCAACCAAAAUGUCAGAGACUUUUCUAACCCCUUGAGCUAAAAUAUUGAAUGUAGAAUUUCUGUAUAGUGGGCUAAUAUCAUUAAGUUCAUCCUGAUUCAACAACUUUAUGUUCCUUCCACAAUUAUCCCAACAUGCUUAAUAUCCAUUGCCAUAUUCCCCAGAUUUAUGAAAUCAUGCAUUUCUUUUGGUGUGUAGCACACUUCCUCAUGGACACACUUUGUACCUUAACCUUUCGGGAUUGCAGGAACUUAAGUCUAGUUAUAAGUGUAGAAGCAAACAUGUACCAGGGGUAGGCCCUGAGGAGAAUCAGCAGUGUUGUACAAGGCACCUACCUCAGGGGAGGCCAUUACAAGUUCCUUGGGCACAUCAGGGUUACCCUCAGGAGUGGAAAGGCUUUUCUACUGACAAAGAAGACUCAUCAGAAUUUUGGAAUUUGAUGUCUCAAGCUUCAGUGGGGUUUCCAAUAUGUCUCCAUUCCAAUUUUCAAGAUCCCAUUCCUUCCCAGUCAACACCCCCACUUUAAUGGAAUAAAUUCUAUGAGAUUGGGAAUUCAUUUUGUGUUGUAAUUCAGCAACUCACAGGUUGAAAGUCUGUGUCUAACGUCUUAACUCCAUGGCUAUAGUAGAUAAGGGUGUGUUUGGGGGCAGACAUAGGAGUUUCCAGGUCAUUUAUGCAUUGCUUGAACAGGGAAUUUCUAGCCCUUAAGUUAUCUUUUUCUUUCUCUUUCCAGAGCUCAGUUAGCAGCUAGCAGCCAACCGCAUCAUAUUCUUCAGUUUGAGCAAAAUGUUCUAAGAUAUCAAAUACAUGGUCGCCCAGAACCUUGCAUUUCAUGGAUAUUUGAUAUAAGUAUGGAAUGGUGAUAUGUGUGUUUCUCUAUUGCCAUGUCAUGCCAUAGACUCCCAGUGUCCUCUUUACCACUAGAAACACUCACUAGUGCCUUUAAAUCCAAUCAGAUUAGAGAACCUAUUCCAGAAGCCCAAGAAACAAACCCAUUCAGAUGACUUAUCCUUAAAAUUCUAUUCCUAUAGAACCUCUCUUAGUAUAAAAAUCCAUACCAUUCAGUCAGGGUUCUACCAACAAAAAAGAAAAGAAGUUGCUCUGAUGUGAUUUUAGGUUCAAUUUAUAUAGUGUGCAUAGUAUGCGUGUGUGUGUAGAGAGAGGGAGAAUUUUGGGUAGAAAUGAGAGUUGUUCCUGCUAUUUCUUCUAGUCGUUUGUGGCUCCAUAUCUAUUAUUCUAAAGGAACUACUCUGGAUUACCUAUUGAAAAGAAUCCCUGUGUUGAGAGUGGAAGCAGGUGUGAGUGGGUCCAACAGAAGGAAACAUGGCUGCCAAAGUGUUUGAGUCCAUUGGCAAGUUCGGCCUGGCCUUGGCCGUUGCAGGAGGCGUGGCGAACUCUGCCCUGUAUAAUGUGGAUGCUGGGCACAGAGCUGUCAUCUUUGACCGAUUCCGUGGAGUGCAGGACAUUGUGGUAGGGGAAGGGACUCACUUUCUCAUCCCAUGGGUACAGAAACCAAUUAUCUUUGACUGCCGCUCUCGGCCGCGUAACGUGCCAGUCAUCACUGGCAGCAAAGAUUUACAGAAUGUCAACAUCACGCUGCGCAUCCUCUUCCGGCCGGUGGCUAGCCAGCUCCCGCGCAUCUUCACCAGCAUCGGAGAGGACUACGACGAGCGCGUGCUGCCGUCCAUCACCACAGAGAUCCUCAAGUCAGUGGUGGCUCGCUUUGAUGCAGGGGAACUAAUCACCCAGAGAGAGCUGGUCUCCAGGCAGGUGGGCGAUGACCUUACGGAGCGAGCAGCAACCUUCGGGCUCAUCCUGGACGAUGUCUCCUUGACGCAUCUGACCUUUGGGAAGGAGUUCACAGAAGCGGUGGAAGCCAAACUGGUGGCUCAGCAGGAAGCAGAGAGGGCCAGAUUCGUGGUGGAAAAGGCUGAGCAGCAGAAAAAGGCGGCCAUCAUCUCUGCCGAGGGCGACUCCAAGGCAGCCGAGCUGAUCGCCAACUCGCUGGCCACCGCGGGGGACGGCCUGAUCGAGCUGCGCAAGCUGGAGGCCGCGGAGGACAUUGCGUACCAGCUGUCACGCUCUCCGAACGUCGCCUACCUGCCGGCGGGGCAGUCCGCGCUCCUGCAGCUGCCCCAGUGAGGAGGACCCACCCUGCCUGCACCUCCUCAGGCCAGCGGGGCCACAGCCCUGCUGAUGCUUAACACCACCUCCUUCUGCCCCACCCAGAAAUCACUGUGAAAUCUCAUGAUUGGCUUACCGUGAAGGAAAUAAAAGUAAAAUCACUUCAGAUCUCUAAAAAAAAAAAAAAAAAAAA
Molecule: non-coding RNA, 2854 nt
Organism: Microcebus murinus (gray mouse lemur)
Lineage: Eukaryota; Metazoa; Chordata; Mammalia; Primates; Cheirogaleidae
Source: RefSeq, a predicted model, not a curated record